AGGGGGUGUGCCGGUGCCCGCUGCCGGAGGAAGGAGCGGGAGGGGCCGGGAAGACAGCCCCGCGCCUGGCUUUCGUUCUGUGUGACCAGUGAAGACUCUUAGAAACAAAGGGGCUGUUUAGAAGGCAACAGAGAGAUGUUAUUCCAGGGGCUUUCCUCUUUGAUUCUGAAGAACACAAGGUCCAUUUAACCAUUCGACAAAGCAAAACAAAAUUUCUGAUCAGUCCACCACGGAGAAGAGAACAUGCCAGUGGAUAUGGGAACAUGCAGGAGAGCCCACGUCGGGCAUGCAUUGUUCAUUUGUCUAGGGGAGGGGGCUGCAGUCAAAGCUCCCACUGUCUAGAGUGUUAAAAUGAAACAGUUUUCUCUUUAUUAAGUACAUACCUCCUUGAGACUCCCUCUGCUGGACACUCCGGGUGAGCCUUAGAGAAGGAACUUGGCAUUGAAUUCAGAACUAUUGACUGCCGCUUUCUUUCCCUGUUACAGUGGACUGGGUAUGUGGGUUGGGAUGUAUUUUGUCAACUUUGUGCAAAGCCACCUUGGGAACUCCACUGCUCACGUGUUCAUUCGCUCUAAAUCCAUGUGAAGUGUUGGCCAUCCCCCGUUCCUGAGACCCGGCCCUCCCAUUUUUAUUACAUAGCUCUUUCAAUACAUCGCAUCAGAUAAAGAACUGUAAGUGUGUAAGGUGUUACAGUUUAAGAAUAAUCAUGAUCUCAAAGGUCUCAGCUCACAUGUUUUCCUUGCCAGCCUGCCUUCUGUGUCUCAGGUGACCCACCGGUCACCCUUCUCAACCAUAGGUUUCCCUCAGUUUUGUCUGUGUGCUUUCUCAGUUGUUCCUGUGUUUGGUAGCCUUUUAUUCUACAAGAGCCCCCCCCCCCCGUUGAACU
RNAcentral lists this long non-coding RNA (886 nucleotides) under Fukomys damarensis (Damara mole-rat). RNAcentral's name for it is "lncRNA (ENSFDAG00000026739.1)". The record is from RNAcentral. Lineage: Eukaryota; Metazoa; Chordata; Mammalia; Rodentia; Bathyergidae.